GCGUGUGUAGUUCAGUGGUAGAACGCUGUCCUGAUAAGACAGAGGCCGAAAGUUCGAUUCUUUCCACACGCA
Molecule: transfer RNA, 72 nt
Filed under: Patescibacteria group bacterium
Lineage: Bacteria
Also listed under: 2 other names
Description: tRNA-Ile
Rfam family: tRNA
About the family: Transfer RNA (tRNA) molecules are approximately 80 nucleotides in length. Their secondary structure includes four short double-helical elements and three loops (D, anti-codon, and T loops).
Source: RNAcentral